This 506-nucleotide ribosomal RNA is filed under the name uncultured bacterium. RNAcentral's name for it is "partial 16S ribosomal RNA". It matches the Rfam family "Bacterial small subunit ribosomal RNA", at positions 29 to 523 of the family's 1533-position model. The record is from RNAcentral.
AGUGAACGCUGGCGGUAGGCCUAACACAUGCAAGUCGAACGGCAGCACAGGAGAGCUUGCUCUCUGGGUGGCGAGUGGCGGACGGGUGAGGAAUACAUCGGAAUCUACUGUGUCGUGGGGGAUAACGGAGGGAAACUUAAGCUAAUACCGCAUACGACCUACGGGUGAAAGGAGGGGAACCUCGGAUCCUGCGAGAUUGACUGAGCCGAUGGCGGAGUAGCUAGUUGGCGGGGUAAAGGCCCACCAAGGCGACGAUCCGUAGCUGGUCUGAGAGGAUGAUCAGCCACACUGGAACUGAGACACUGUCCAGACUCCUACGGGAGGCAGCAGUGGGGAAUAUUGGACAAUGGGCGCAAGCCUGAUCCAGCCAUACCGCGUGGGUGAGGAAGGCCUUCGGGUUGUAAAGCCCUUUUGUUGGGAAAGAAAUCCAGCUGGCUAAUACCCGGUUGGGAUGACGGUACCCAAAGAAUAAGCACCGGCUAACUUCUUGCCAGCAGCCGCGGUAA